RNAcentral lists this long non-coding RNA (279 nucleotides) under Struthio camelus australis. RNAcentral describes it as "lncRNA (ENSSCUG00000014058.1)". Lineage: Eukaryota; Metazoa; Chordata; Aves; Struthioniformes; Struthionidae. The record is from RNAcentral.
CUUGCAAUUCGAUUUCAGCUAUGCAGGGAAGGGAGACAAUAGCAUUUUCUUCUCUUUAUUCAGGCUGAUUCCUUUUUAAACCAUAUUAAAAUGCAUCAGAACUGCCAGCCAUUAUAAAGCUCUGAGAUACCAAGCAAAUGAGAUUAACACUGUAGGAUGCACAAAACAAGCAUGUAGCUGGAAGACUGGUCAGCUACUACUGCCAACUUUGGUGAGUUGCCUUUUAUUUCUGACCUGGAAUCAAUUACAGGGCUGCAUGCAUUUGGUUGGCAGAGAUGA